GUUGAACGCUAGCUACAGGCUUAACACAUGCAAGUCGAGGGACCCGCGCACGGGUGAGUAACACGUAUCCAACCUGCCCUUUACUCGGGGAUAGCCUUUCGAAAUAAAGAUUAAUACCCGAUAUAAAGGAUGGGGAUGCGUUCCAUUAGGUUGUUGGUGAGGUAACGGCCCACCAAGCCUUCGAUGGAUAGGGGUUCUGAGAGGAAGGUCCCCCACAAUGGAACUAAGGCACAGACCAAACUCGUACGGGACGCAGGAGUAAGGAAUAUUGGUCAAUGGGCGCUAGCCUGAACCAGCCGAGUGGAGGGAAGGAUGAAGGCGUAGGGGACGUAAACUUCUUUUAUAUAAGAAUAUGUAUUAGAUGAAUAAGGAUCGGCUAACUCCGUGCCAGCAGCCGCGGUAAUUC
RNAcentral lists this ribosomal RNA (406 nucleotides) under uncultured bacterium. Its description in RNAcentral is "partial 16S ribosomal RNA". It matches the Rfam family "Bacterial small subunit ribosomal RNA", at positions 28 to 526 of the family's 1533-position model. The record is from RNAcentral.